GUCUGAGUACUAUACAAUAGUUAAAACUUUCAACAACGGAUCUCUUGGUUCUGGCAUCGAUGAAGAACGCAGCGAAAUGCGAUAAGUAAUGUGAAUUGCAGAAUUCAGUGAAUCAUCGAAUCUUUGAACGCACAUUGCGCCCUCUGGUAUUCCGGGGGGCAUGCCUGUUCGAGCGUCAUUACAACCCUCACGCCCUGCGUGGUGUUGGGC
Molecule: ribosomal RNA, 210 nt
Filed under: fungal sp. S3.1.6
Lineage: Eukaryota; Fungi
Description: 5.8S ribosomal RNA
Rfam family: 5.8S ribosomal RNA (bases 25-178)
About the family: 5.8S ribosomal RNA (5.8S rRNA) is a component of the large subunit of the eukaryotic ribosome.
Source: RNAcentral